This is a non-coding RNA of Callorhinus ursinus (northern fur seal), 2175 nucleotides long. Lineage: Eukaryota; Metazoa; Chordata; Mammalia; Carnivora; Otariidae. The record is from RefSeq and is a predicted model, not a curated record.
UGCCAUGCUUGAAAGAGUGGAUUACAUUCCUCAUUUCAUAGAACCUAAGAUCAGAGAAGUCAAGUGACUUGUCCAAGGUCACAAAGCAAAUAAGAAGCAGAGCCAGGCUUCAAGUCUAGAUGAUCUCAUACAAGUGGCUAAGACACGUUAUGCCUACGGUGUGCCAGGCACUGUUCCGCAGGGACUAAAGUAUCUCAUCCCCACAGCAGCCCUCUGUGGGAAUUGCUGGUGGGACUCUCAUUGGACAGGUGAGGAAACUGAGGCACACAGAUGUAAAGCCAAGUCACCCAGCAAGUAGGUGCUAGAGCUGGGAUUUGAACUGACAGCCUGGCCUCCAGUCCAAGGUCUGACCAUGAUACCAUGCUGCCCCUCUGUGGGGCAGUUAAGUGCUUAACUCCUGGCACUUGGGAGGGAGGCUGGGGACGCCCAGUUCCAGGAGCUACCGGGCGUGUGGGGACAUUGAUCCUCCAGGAGAACCACUUUUGCUGGCCUCAGGGGUGCCCUCCCUUUCCCUGAACUGGAGCCAUUAGUGGGAAGGAGUGGAGUCAUUUGCCAUCUUUUUGCUGGGAGACCUUGGACAAGUCAUCUUCUUUUUGAGUCUCCAUCCACAGGCAGGGGGCAGUUGGACGAAGUGAUCUCUUGUUGUCUUCCAGCUCAGAAAUGUUGGGCUGUGUCAGGAGCAGGCCCCAGCUUCAAGGCUCUCCACUAGCUUCUACCAGCUCAAAUAUUUGUCUGGGACCCCUUAGAGACAUAGGGAAAAACUAAGGAGGGACAGGCCCAGGACUCUCUGAAGGUGCCCGCAGGGCAGAGAAUACUGGGCUGGGAGUCAGGACCCAUUGCUUCCAGUUUCAGGUCUGCUGCUACCUUGGCUGUGUGACUUUGGGUGCGGCUCGUGAUUGCAGAGAAGGGCCUGGUGUGUGAGGAGCGGGACGUGAGCCUGCCGCAGAGCGAGCACAAGGAGCCCUGGUUCAUGCGGCUCAACCUGGGGGAGGAGGUGCCCGUCAUCAUCCACCGGGACAAUAUCAUCAGCGACUACGACCAGAUCAUCGACUACGUGGAGCGAACCUUUACAGGAGAGCACGUGGUGGCCCUGAUGCCUGAGGCGGGCAGCCCUCAGCACGCAAGGGUGCUGCAGUACCGGGAGCUGCUGGGCGCGCUGCCCAUGGACGCCUACACGCACGGCUGCAUCCUGCACCCUGAGCUCACCACUGACUCCAUGAUCCCCAAGUACGCCACGGCCGAGAUCCGCAGACAUUUAGCCAACGCCACCACAGACCUCAUGAAAUUGGACCAUGAAGAGGAGCCCCAGCUCUCUGAGCCCUACCUUUCCAAACAGAAGAAGCUCAUGGCCAAGAUCCUGGAGCACGAUGAUGUGAGCUACCUGAAGAAGAUCCUUGGGGAGCUGGCCAUGGUGCUGGACCAGAUAGAGGCGGAGCUGGAGAAGAGGAAGCUGGAAAACGAGGGGCAAAAGUGUGAACCAUGGCUCUGCGGCUGUGCCUUCACCCUCGCCGACGUUCUCCUGGGAGCUACCCUGCACCGCCUCAAGUUCCUGGGACUGUCCAAGAAGUACUGGGAAGACGGCAGCCGGCCCAACCUGCAGUCCUUCUUUGAGAGGGUCCAGAAGCGCUUGGCCUUCCGGAAGGUCCUCGGCGACAUCCACACCACUCUGCUGUCGGCUGUCAUCCCCAAUGCGUUCCGGCUGGUCAAGCGGAAACCCCCAUCUUUCUUUGGGGCGUCCUUCCUCAUGGGCUCCCUGGGUGGGAUGGGCUACUUUGCCUACUGGUACCUCAAGAAAAAAUACAUCUAGAGCCAGGCCUGGGCUUGGUACCUGUUGGUGUCUCUGUCCUGUGUGACCCCCAGCAAGCUCUCAGUAACGCACUGUCUCAUGAACUUGGACAGCCACUCCCUGCCCUGUUUGGAGUAAUUCUAUCGUCAAUGUGAAAACAUUCCAUAGUUUAGAGGUAGACGUUGCCAAUGCCGUGAGUUGAGGCCACAGCUCUACUAAAGGAGAGAAAGAGUGAGUGUGAGAGAGAGAGAGGGAGAGAGAGAACAGAAACAAAACACGAAUACCUUUUCUUUUGAUUCAAGGUCUCAAGAUGGAACUGGGGGGACUGGUUAGGAUCUGAGGGAACUCUUCCACAGGACAAAGCCAACAUCAACACUGACUCUUCUAAG